RNAcentral lists this ribosomal RNA (1441 nucleotides) under uncultured organism. RNAcentral's name for it is "SSU rRNA". It matches the Rfam family "Bacterial small subunit ribosomal RNA". The record is from RNAcentral.
UGAACGCUAGCUACAGGCUUAACACAUGCAAGUCGAGGGGCAGCAUGGUCUUAGCUUGCUAAGGCCGAUGGCGACCGGCGCACGGGUGAGUAACACGUAUCCAACCUGCCGUCUACUCUUGGACAGCCUUCUGAAAGGAAGAUUAAUACAAGAUGGCAUCAUGAGUCCACAUGUUCACAUGAUUAAAGGUAUUCCGGUAGACGAUGGGGAUGCGUUCCAUUAGAUAGUAGGCGGGGUAACGGCCCACCUAGUCUUCGAUGGAUAGGGGUUCUGAGAGGAAGGUCCCCCACAUUGGAACUGAGACACGGUCCAAACUCCUACGGGAGGCAGCAGUGAGGAAUAUUGGUCAAUGGGCGAGAGCCUGAACCAGCCAAGUAGCGUGAAGGAUGACUGCCCUAUGGGUUGUAAACUUCUUUUAUAAAGGAAUAAAGUCGGGUAUGCAUACCCGUUUGCAUGUACUUUAUGAAUAAGGAUCGGCUAACUCCGUGCCAGCAGCCGCGGUAAUACGGAGGAUCCGAGCGUUAUCCGGAUUUAUUGGGUUUAAAGGGAGCGUAGAUGGAUGUUUAAGUCAGUUGUGAAAGUUUGCGGCUCAACCGUAAAAUUGCAGUUGAUACUGGAUAUCUUGAGUGCAGUUGAGGCAGGCGGAAUUCGUGGUGUAGCGGUGAAAUGCUUAGAUAUCACGAAGAACUCCGAUUGCGAAGGCAGCCUGCUAAGCUGCAACUGACAUUGAGGCUCGAAAGUGUGGGUAUCAAACAGGAUUAGAUACCCUGGUAGUCCACACGGUAAACGAUGAAUACUCGCUGUUUGCGAUAUACUGCAAGCGGCCAAGCGAAAGCGUUAAGUAUUCCACCUGGGGAGUACGCCGGCAACGGUGAAACUCAAAGGAAUUGACGGGGGCCCGCACAAGCGGAGGAACAUGUGGUUUAAUUCGAUGAUACGCGAGGAACCUUACCCGGGCUUAAAUUGCAGAUGAAUUACGGUGAAAGCCGUAAGCCGCAAGGCAUCUGUGAAGGUGCUGCAUGGUUGUCGUCAGCUCGUGCCGUGAGGUGUCGGCUUAAGUGCCAUAACGAGCGCAACCCUUGUUGUCAGUUACUAACAGGUUCUGCUGAGGACUCUGACAAGACUGCCAUCGUAAGAUGUGAGGAAGGUGGGGAUGACGUCAAAUCAGCACGGCCCUUACGUCCGGGGCUACACACGUGUUACAAUGGGGGGUACAGAGGGCCGCUACCACGCGAGUGGAUGCCAAUCCCAAAAACCUCUCUCAGUUCGGACUGGAGUCUGCAACCCGACUCCACGAAGCUGGAUUCGCUAGUAAUCGCGCAUCAGCCACGGCGCGGUGAAUACGUUCCCGGGCCUUGUACACACCGCCCGUCAAGCCAUGGGAGCCGGGGGUACCUGAAGUGCGUAACCGCGAGGAGCGCCCUAGGGUAAAACUGGUGAC